GGAAUUUUCCACAAUGGGCGAAAGCCUGACGCAGCAAUGCCGCGUGAGUGAAGAAGGCCCUCGGGUCGUAAAGCUCUUUAUCUUCGGGAAGAUGAUGACGGUACCGAAGGAAGAAGCACCGGCUAACUACGUGCCAGCAGCCGUGGUAAUACGUAGGGUGCAAGCGUUGUUCGGAAUCACUGGGCGUAAAGGGCGUGUAGGCGGAACGAUUAGCGAGGGGUGAAAUCCCGGGGCUCAACCCCGGAACUGCUCUUCGAACUGUCGAUCUAGAGAAGGUCAGGGGCCGGCGGAAUUCCUGGUGUAGAGGUGAAAUUCGUAGAGAUCAGGAGGAACAUCGGAGGCGAAGGCGGCCGGCUGGGGCCAUUCUGACGCUGAGGCGCGAAAGCGUGGGGAGCAAACAGGAUUAGAUACCCCUGUAGUC
This 421-nucleotide ribosomal RNA is filed under the name uncultured bacterium. Its description in RNAcentral is "bacterial SSU rRNA". It matches the Rfam family "Bacterial small subunit ribosomal RNA", at positions 358 to 795 of the family's 1533-position model. The record is from RNAcentral.